RNAcentral lists this ribosomal RNA (446 nucleotides) under uncultured bacterium. Its description in RNAcentral is "partial 16S ribosomal RNA". It matches the Rfam family "Bacterial small subunit ribosomal RNA", at positions 338 to 795 of the family's 1533-position model. The record is from RNAcentral.
CCUACGGGAGGCUGCAGUCGAGAAUCAUUCACAAUGGGGGAAACCCUGAUGGUGCGACGCCGCGUGGGGGAAUGAAGGUCUUCGGAUUGUAAACCCCUGUCAUGUGGGAGCAAAUUAAAAUGAUAGUACCACAAGAGGAAGAGACGGCUAACUAUGUGCCAGCAGCCGCGGUAAUACAGAGGUCUCAAGCGUUGUUCGGAAUCACUGGGCGUAAAGGGUGCGUAGGCUGUUUCGUAAGUCGUGUGUGAAAGACGCGGGCUCAACACGAGGACGGCACGUGAUACUGCGAGACUAGAGUAAUGGAGAGGGUGCCGGAAUUCUCGGUGUAGCAGUGAAAUGCGUAGAUAUCGAGAGGAACACUCGUGGCGAAGGCGGGUUCCUGGACAUUAACUGACGCUGAGGCACGAAGGCCAGGGGAGCGAAAGGGAUUAGAUACCCCAGUAGUC